AGAGAUGUAGUUCAGUGGUAGAAUGCUUGCUUAGAAUGUGAGGCUCUGGGUUCAAUCCCCAGCACUGCCA
Molecule: transfer RNA, 70 nt
Filed under: Ictidomys tridecemlineatus (thirteen-lined ground squirrel)
Lineage: Eukaryota; Metazoa; Chordata; Mammalia; Rodentia; Sciuridae
Description: Spermophilus tridecemlineatus (thirteen-lined ground squirrel) tRNA
Rfam family: tRNA
About the family: Transfer RNA (tRNA) molecules are approximately 80 nucleotides in length. Their secondary structure includes four short double-helical elements and three loops (D, anti-codon, and T loops). Further hydrogen bonds mediate the characteristic L-shaped molecular structure. tRNAs have two regions of fundamental functional importance: the anti-codon, which is responsible for specific mRNA codon recognition, and the 3' end, to which the tRNAs corresponding amino acid is attached (by aminoacyl-tRNA synthetases). tRNAs cope with the degeneracy of the genetic code in two manners: having more than one tRNA (with a specific anti-codon) for a particular amino acid; and 'wobble' base-pairing, i.e. permitting non-standard base-pairing at the 3rd anti-codon position.
Source: Rfam by way of RNAcentral